RNAcentral lists this ribosomal RNA (253 nucleotides) under uncultured bacterium. RNAcentral describes it as "partial 16S ribosomal RNA". It matches the Rfam family "Bacterial small subunit ribosomal RNA", at positions 524 to 776 of the family's 1533-position model. The record is from RNAcentral.
UACAGAGGGGGCAAGCGUUGCUCGGAAUCACUGGGCGUAAAGCGCACGUAGGCGGAUCGUUAAGUCAGGGGUGAAAUCCUGGAGCUCAACUCCAGAACUGCCUUUGAUACUGGCGACCUUGAGUUCGGGAGAGGUGAGUGGAACUGCGAGUGUAGAGGUGAAAUUCGUAGAUAUUCGCAAGAACACCAGUGGCGAAGGCGGCUCACUGGCCCGAUACUGACGCUGAGGUGCGAAAGCGUGGGGAGCAAACAGG